This 393-nucleotide ribosomal RNA is filed under the name uncultured bacterium. RNAcentral's name for it is "bacterial SSU rRNA". It matches the Rfam family "Bacterial small subunit ribosomal RNA", at positions 32 to 415 of the family's 1533-position model. The record is from RNAcentral.
AAUCAACGCUGGCGGCGUGCCUCAGACAUGCAAGUCGAACGAUUAAAGCUCUCUUCGGAGAGUGCAUAGAGUGGCGCACGGGUGAGUAACACGUAAGUAAUCUACCCUCGAGUGGGGAAUAACAACCGGAAACGGUUGCUAAUACCGCAUAAUGCAGCGGCACCGCAAGGUGACAGUUGUUAAAGAUUUAUCGCUUGAGGAGGAGCUUGCGGCAGAUUAGCAGUUGGUAAGGUAAUGGCUUACCAAGGCUACGAUCUGUAACCGGUCUAAGAGGACGGUCGGUCACACUGACACUGAAUAACGGGUCAGACUCCUACGGGGAGGCAGCAGUCGGGUAAUUUUGGGCAAUGGGCGAAAAGCCUGACCCAGCAACGCCGCGUGAAGGAUGAAGUA